CUUCAGGUGGCUGGCACCUUAGAUUUAAUUCGUUAAUAGCAGGUGAGUGUGCGGCUCAGUGAUGUCACUAAGGGAACUGCCUUGUGCAUGAAGGACCUCCCUCCUCCUCGGCUCAUGCUCAGGAGAACCUGAUGUGCUGAACAACCGGGUCCUCUUCUGACCCCGCCAUGGGCACCAGGCUCCUCUGCUGCGUGGCCCUCUGUCUCCUGGGGGCAGGUCACACAGGAGCUGGUGUCCUCCAGUCCCCCCGGCACAAGGUCACAAUGCAGGGCUGGAAUGUGACCUUCAGGUGUGAUCCAAUUUCUGGUCACGCUGGCCUUUUUUGGUACCGACAGGCCCAGGGGCAAGGCCCGGAGUUGUUAAUUUACUUCCAAAACAAGAACAAAGUAGACAUAACAGGGACGCCCAAGAAUGAUCGGUUCCAGGCAAAGAGGCCUGAGGGCACCUACUCCAAUCUGCAGAUCCAGCAAGCAGAGCCGGGGGACUGGGCUGUGUACCUCUGUGCCAGCAGCCUUACCACAGCCUCUGGACAGGAUGGAGGAGGGCGUGCAUCCGCUGAGCCUGUCCAGGCAGUGCAGGGUGCCGGCGGGAGGACAGUGACAUCAGAACAGUGA
Hyaena hyaena (striped hyena) is the source of this 614-nucleotide non-coding RNA. NCBI's taxonomy places the organism in Eukaryota, Metazoa, Chordata, Mammalia, Carnivora, Hyaenidae. The record is from the annotation of a RefSeq genome assembly.